This 388-nucleotide ribosomal RNA is filed under the name Mora moro. Its description in RNAcentral is "partial 16S ribosomal RNA". It matches the Rfam family "Bacterial large subunit ribosomal RNA", at positions 1962 to 2502 of the family's 2925-position model. The record is from RNAcentral. Lineage: Eukaryota; Metazoa; Chordata; Actinopteri; Gadiformes; Moridae.
UAAUCACUUGUCUUUUAAAUGGAGACCAGUAUGAAUGGCAUCACGAGGGCUUAACUGUCUCCCCUCUCCAGUCAAUGAAAUUGACUUUCCCGUGCAGAGGCGGGAAUAACUAUAUAAGACGAGAAGACCCUGUGGAGCUUUAGAAUCUAAAAUAAAUCACGUCUAGUGUACUAUUUCAUCAGUAAAAGCCUAAUGAUUAAAUAUUGAAGUGUCUUUGGUUGGGGCGACCGCGGGGUAAAACACAACCCCCUUGUGGACCGGGGAUAUUAUCCCUAAUACUCAGAGCUUCCACUCCAAGCAACAGAAAUUCUGACCUUAUGAUCCGGUAAGACCGAUCAACGAACCGAGUUACCCCAGGGAUAACAGCGCAAUCCCCUCUCAGAGCCCU